CAGAUAUGACUUACUUCAAAACAAUAAAAGCAUAUACAUUGAAAUUUAAGCACAAUGAUAUACAUUUUGUGCUAUUAUUACUGUGUAAAAUAAAACUGGAAACAACACUACGUCGUUUAAUAAUGUCAUGCGUCCGAAGCGCUUUUCUGGAUUGUGUAACGCUCACAAUUCUUCAAAUCCACAAAAUUUAUACUUUUUGCAAACUUAUUUUUUUCGGAAUGUAAGUAAAUAUAUAUCAUGUUGGGGAAAUUUUCUUAUUUUACAAAAUAAUAUACU
RNAcentral lists this long non-coding RNA (276 nucleotides) under Mytilus galloprovincialis (Mediterranean mussel). Lineage: Eukaryota; Metazoa; Mollusca; Bivalvia; Mytilida; Mytilidae. The record is from RNAcentral.